RNAcentral lists this small nuclear RNA (20 nucleotides) under Arabidopsis thaliana (thale cress). RNAcentral describes it as "snRNA_15156". Lineage: Eukaryota; Viridiplantae; Streptophyta; Magnoliopsida; Brassicales; Brassicaceae. The record is from RNAcentral.
AUCUCGGUGAAGCUUUAAGG